UUCUGGAGCUCGGAGUGGGUGCUGCUGUAGCCGCCUGAACGGGGGUCCACUUUGGGAGAGAUGAUGCGGUGUUUGGCGCUGUUACAUUUGUGAUGUACGCUGCUCCCAGCGCCUGCAGAGACAGACACAAACAGCUACUGGAACAUUACGCCCCCCAGUGGCAUCAUUGCAACAGACAGCUGAAUAAAUCAGUACAUCUCUAAAAUGCUCAGCCUGGACUUUUCUCUAACUAGACAAUCAGCCUGGCAGCCCCGCUGCCUGUCCCUUACCCAGCGUGCCCGUGCAGAGGCAGUUGUGAGUCCGGGGAGGAGGCUUGGUCUGGUGGCUGUCCAGUAUCUGCUGUACCAGCUGCUCCACAGAGAAGCCAGAGC
Molecule: long non-coding RNA, 371 nt
Organism: Misgurnus anguillicaudatus (oriental weatherfish)
Lineage: Eukaryota; Metazoa; Chordata; Actinopteri; Cypriniformes; Cobitidae
Source: RefSeq, a predicted model, not a curated record